CCUACGGGGCGCUGCAGUGGGGAAUAUUGGACAAUGGGCGAAAGCCUGAUCCAGCCAUGCCGCGUGUGUGAAGAAGGCCUUCGGGUUGUAAAGCACUUUCAGUGGGGAAGAAAGCCUUGGGGCUAAUACCCUCGAGGAAGGACAUCACCCACAGAAGAAGCACCGGCUAACUCCGUGCCAGCAGCCGCGGUAAUACGGAGGGUGCGAGCGUUAAUCGGAAUUACUGGGCGUAAAGCGCGCGUAGGCGGUCUGAUAAGCCGGUUGUGAAAGCCCCGGGCUCAACCUGGGAACGGCAUCCGGAACUGGCAGGCUAGAGUGCAGGAGAGGAAGGUAGAAUUCCCGGUGUAGCGGUGAAAUGCGUAGAGAUCGGGAGGAAUACCAGUGGCGAAGGCGGCCUUCUGGACUGACACUGACGCUGAGGUGCGAAAGCGUGGGUAGCAAACAGGAUUAGAUACCCGAGUAGUC
RNAcentral lists this ribosomal RNA (465 nucleotides) under Vreelandella stevensii. Its description in RNAcentral is "partial 16S ribosomal RNA". It matches the Rfam family "Bacterial small subunit ribosomal RNA", at positions 338 to 795 of the family's 1533-position model. The record is from RNAcentral. Lineage: Bacteria; Pseudomonadati; Pseudomonadota; Gammaproteobacteria; Oceanospirillales; Halomonadaceae.